Tarenaya hassleriana is the source of this 236-nucleotide long non-coding RNA. RefSeq lists it as uncharacterized. The record is from RefSeq and is a predicted model, not a curated record. The transcript has 3 exons. Lineage: Eukaryota; Viridiplantae; Streptophyta; Magnoliopsida; Brassicales; Cleomaceae.
GAAACAGCAAAAGAUUCAACUGCUAAAGUUUAUCCAUUUUAAGGUGCAACCAAAGCAGGUUUCAACUGACUUACCACAUUGUCCAUCAGAUGAAAAAAUCUCGAAACGGGUAUCUGAGUUCAACAUCCUGCAUAUGUUAGAAGAGAAGGCAAGCACACGCAUGAAGAACCAGUUGAUGAGUCUAGAAUCAGAAACUUACCUUCAGAUGGAUUGGUCAGACCGCAUUCCAAUCCCGA